GUCACAUGGCUGAUUGGUAGCCAUUUUGCUGAAGUUAAAAAAAGACACUUGAACCGUCAUCUUGACUAAAGAUGACCACAUGGAAAUUAGAGGUUUCUGCUUCUGGCAGACACAUCUGAGUAUAUCAGUUGCUGACUACAGGCUGUUCCUAAAUAGACUUCGAGCCCUGGACUUGCUGUGGAUAUGAACCAGUCCAGCUGAUGUGGACACUGCCUGUCUCUGCAACAGAGUCUGCCAACAGCCCCUGAUGGAUUCCCCAUUGCAUAAAUUCCUUUUUUUUUUUUUUGCUUUUGACUAGCAUUUCAACCUUCUGGGGUCCCUAACUUCGUCCCAAAGUCAACAGGAAGUAGCAUGGGAAAGAGUACGCCGCCCAUUUUCCCUGGUUAAAAUGCUAAGUCAGAAGGAACUCCCUUGCAUGGGCAUGCCAAUAUCUCUCACUCCCUGAUGGGGGCGCUAGAGAGACAGCAAUUCCAUGAUUGGAAUCCCCCCCCCAAAAUAAUGGGGGAAUGAAGGGACCAGCUCCCCAUUUUGGCAGCCAUAACAGCUGAACACGUGCUUGUCUGACCUUGUCUUAGUCACUAAGGUCAGAUGCCCGCCCCUUUGGCAGCCAUAACAGCCAAACACGUGCUUGUCUGACCUUGUCCUAGUCACUAAAAAGUCAGAUGCCUGCCUUGUGACAAGGAACCAAUCAGAAGUUAGCUGGUGGCGCUAUGAUUUAUGGCUCUGGGUGUGCUUUAUGGACAAGUGCACAGCAAUGACGCACAGAGCAUAGCAACCACCCUGGGAAGGCCUAUGGGCCAUAACAACCAGUUGGCCAAUCAACAUAGGGCAAGCCCUCCAAGACUGGAGGCACACCAAUCCUGAGCCUGUGCAUACCCCUAGACACUCUCCUUACGCUGCCCUACAAGAUCUCUAUGCAGCCGGUUCGAGGUGUCUUUCCUAGCCAUCCGCCACGGCGGGUGGAUGAAAGGCCUGAGCUAACAUGGGGUUAGCUCGUUAAACUACAAUAAAGCCUUGUGCAGUUUGCAUCAAGCUUUCGAAUCUGUC
This 1047-nucleotide long non-coding RNA is filed under the name Cricetulus griseus (Chinese hamster). Its description in RNAcentral is "lncRNA (ENSCGRG00015032541.1)". The record is from RNAcentral. Lineage: Eukaryota; Metazoa; Chordata; Mammalia; Rodentia; Cricetidae.